AUACGGAGGAUCCAAGCGUUAUCCGGAAUCAUUGGGUUUAAAGGGUUCGUAGGCGGGUUUAUAAGUCAGUGGUGAAAGUUUGCGGCUCAACCGUAAAAUUGCCAUUGAUACUGUAGAUCUUGAAUUAGUGUGAAGUGAUUAGAAUAAGUAGUGUAGCGGUGAAAUGCAUAGAUAUUACUUAGAAUACCAAUUGCGAAGGCAGGUCACUAACACUAUAUUGACGCUGAGGGACGAAAGCGUGGGGAGCGAACAGGAUUAGAUACCCUUGUAGUCC
RNAcentral lists this ribosomal RNA (274 nucleotides) under uncultured bacterium. RNAcentral describes it as "partial 16S ribosomal RNA". It matches the Rfam family "Bacterial small subunit ribosomal RNA", at positions 523 to 796 of the family's 1533-position model. The record is from RNAcentral.